CAGUCGCCGCGGUAAUACGAGGGGAGCUAGCGUUGUUCGGAAUUACUGGGCGUAAAGCGCGCGUAGGCGGCUUUUUAAGUCAGAGGUGAAAGCCCGGGGCUCAACCCCGGAAUUGCCUUUGAAACUGGAAAGCUAGAAUCUUGGAGAGGUCAGUGGAAUUCCGAGUGUAGAGGUGAAAUUCGUAGAUAUUCGGAAGAACACCAGUGGCGAAGGCGACUGACUGGACAAGUAUUGACGCUGAGGUGCGAAAGCGUGGGGAGCAAACAGGAUUAGAUACCCCCGUAGUCCCUGUCUCUUACAC
This 301-nucleotide ribosomal RNA is filed under the name uncultured bacterium. RNAcentral's name for it is "partial 16S ribosomal RNA". It matches the Rfam family "Bacterial small subunit ribosomal RNA", at positions 509 to 809 of the family's 1533-position model. The record is from RNAcentral.